This 279-nucleotide long non-coding RNA is filed under the name Solanum tuberosum (potato). RNAcentral describes it as "long non-coding RNA (STUB_LNC002869)". Lineage: Eukaryota; Viridiplantae; Streptophyta; Magnoliopsida; Solanales; Solanaceae. The record is from RNAcentral.
GCUCCUCCAUCUGAUAUUGGAUGAUUAUAAUUUUUGAUUUGUGUUAAUUAUACGUACAAAGUAAUAAUUGAAUAAAAAUUACUCUAAAGACUUCAUAUCAAUGUUUUGAAUUCAUCACGCGAAAUAUUGAAAUCAUUUGACUUGCAACAUGAUGGUACACCAGAAGUGACAAUAACUAGGUUUUUCCAGCUCAAUAUUUUACUCAAUUCCUUGAUAAGCAGCAGCAUUAGCCCGUUGUUUCGCUUGACACUUCAGAGGUGGCAACUUCACUUUUUUGGG